UGGACGAAAGUCUGACCGAGCGACGCCGCGUGUGGGAUGAAGGUCUUCGGAUUGUAAACCACUGUCGAGGGGGAUUAAGGGAAACUUGAAAGAACCCUGGAGGAAGGGGAGGCUAAGCUCGUGCCAGCAGCCGCGGUAAGACGAGCUCCCCAAACGUUAUUCGGUAUUACUGGGCUUAAAGAGUUCGUAGGCGGCGAAGUAGGUGAGGUGUGAAAGCCCUCGGCUCAACCGAGGAACUGCGCUUCAAACCACUUUGCUAGAGGGAGAUAGGGGUAAGCGGAACAGAUGGUGGAACGGUGAAAUGUAUUGAUAUCAUCUGGAACACCGGUGGCGAAAGCGGCUUACUGGGUCUUUUCUGACGCUGAGGAACGAAAGCUAGGGUAGCGAACGGGAUUAGAUACCCCGGUAGUCCUAGCCGUAAACGAUGAGCACUAGUCUGAGGGACUUUCACGGUUUCUCGGACGUAGCGAAAGUGUUAAGUGCUCCGCCUGGGGA
Molecule: ribosomal RNA, 495 nt
Filed under: uncultured bacterium
Lineage: Bacteria
Description: bacterial SSU rRNA
Rfam family: Bacterial small subunit ribosomal RNA
Source: RNAcentral